This 483-nucleotide ribosomal RNA is filed under the name uncultured bacterium. RNAcentral describes it as "bacterial SSU rRNA". It matches the Rfam family "Bacterial small subunit ribosomal RNA", at positions 328 to 802 of the family's 1533-position model. The record is from RNAcentral.
AUGAAACACUCCUACGGGAGGCAGCAGUGGGGAAUUUUGGACAAUGGGCGCAAGCCUGAUCCAGCCAUGCCGCGUGCGGGAAGAAGGCCUUCGGGUUGUAAACCGCUUUUGUCAGGGAAGAAAAGUUCCGGGCUAAUACCCUGGGAUGAUGACGGUACCUGAAGAAUAAGCACCGGCUAACUACGUGCCAGCAGCCGCGGUAAUACGUAGGGUGCAAGCGUUAAUCGGAAUUACUGGGCGUAAAGCGUGCGCAGGCGGUUGUGUAAGUCCGAUGUGAAAUCCCCGGGCUCAACCUGGGAAUUGCAUUUGAGACUGCACGGCUAGAGUGUGGCAGAGGGGGGUAGAAUUCCACGUGUAGCAGUGAAAUGCGUAGAUAUGUGGAGGAAUACCGAUGGCGAAGGCAGCCCCCUGGGAUAACACUGACGCUCAUGCACGAAAGCGUGGGGAGCAAACAGGAUUAGAUACCCCUGUAGGCCGAAGUUC